UACGUAGGGUGCGAGCGUUAAUCGGAAUUACUGGGCGUAAAGCGUGCGCAGGCGGUUUUGUAAGUCUGUCGUGAAAUCCCCGGGCUUAACCUGGGAACUGCGUUUGAAACUACAAGGCUAGAGUGUGGCAGAGGGGGGUGGAAUUCCACGUGUAGCAGUGAAAUGCGUAGAGAUGUGGAGGAACACCGAUGGCGAAGGCAGCCCCCUGGGUUAACACUGACGCUCAGGCACGAAAGCGUGGGGAGCAAACAGG
Molecule: ribosomal RNA, 253 nt
Filed under: uncultured bacterium
Lineage: Bacteria
Description: partial 16S ribosomal RNA
Rfam family: Bacterial small subunit ribosomal RNA
Source: RNAcentral